AUUACCAGUGAAGACAAUGUAAUGCAGAAGACACUGAGGAGGAAAAUAAGACAAAACAUUGGCCCCCAUGUAUUAGGGUAAUUGCCAUUAGAUCACCUGUGUUGUAUACGGGGUCACUGUUUAUUAUUACUGCUGUAAAACCGGCUACAAUUGGAAGAGAAAAUGAUCUAGAGCAUACUCUUUCUUUGAAUCCCUGAAGUUGGUGUCUGUAAGUUUCAGGCAGAAAUUUGACCAUGACUAGCAAACUUAUGUCCUUGUAGAUCAGGACGGUCAAAAUGGAACAAUUGUUAGUGAAAAACGGAUUGUUCAAGUGAAAGCUAAAUGUGACCCUUACAUACUUGAGCAUACAUAGACAUGAAAUGAAAAUUGGAGAGACUGUGUUACCCUUUCGCAUUCACCCUGGCAGUGAUACCUGUGAUGGCUGUGACCCACAGCAGGUCAGAGCUCACUUUCACCUUGAUAAGAAAGGUGAAUGUUUGUUGGUCCAACACUAAGAAGAAAAAGAUUUGGAAAUAAGAAAAUAAUUUUAAAAAUGUGAGUAAAAUAUGGUUUACAGAAUACAGACUAUGAAGAUGAAUAGACACUAAAGCUUCCAAAAUAUAAAAAUAGAGCUGGAAAAUGUAGUGAGAAGAUUGGAAGUGAAGGAACUUUCCAAAAAGAUGAUGCUUCUGCAUCUAUUCAUUCUGAAAUUACUGACAGCAACAAAGGUCAGAAGACGUUGAAGAAGAUGGGUUGGAAAAAAGGAGAUGGACUGAGGAAGAUGAUGGGGGAAUGAAAACUCCAAUUUAGUGUCAAGUUCACCAACACACAUAGGCUCGGAGACAGGAAAUCCAUCCUCAAUUGAAGAUGUUCACCUUCUCCGAAACAAAACAAACAAACAACAACAACAACAAAAAACUGGGACAAAGCAUGAGAAAGGUUUGCUGAAAAGUUCCCAGAAACUAAACCUUGAAAAGAUGACCCAGGAACCAUGCCUUGAGUAAAAGGGACUGUAGAGUGA
RNAcentral lists this long non-coding RNA (1000 nucleotides) under Homo sapiens (human). RNAcentral's name for it is "non-protein coding lnc-TP53TG3F-18:1". Lineage: Eukaryota; Metazoa; Chordata; Mammalia; Primates; Hominidae. The record is from RNAcentral.